UAAACGAACAAAGCAUCAGCUCGUAUAAUAGCGGUAAUAUGGUCCGCGAGUCUCUACCAGGCUGCCGAUAACGGCCUGACUACGAGUGGUCUUUUUCAGUUG
RNAcentral lists this non-coding RNA (102 nucleotides) under Shouchella clausii KSM-K16. RNAcentral's name for it is "Bacillus clausii KSM-K16 Purine riboswitch aptamer". It matches the Rfam family "Purine riboswitch aptamer". Rfam says of the family: Riboswitches are metabolite binding domains within certain messenger RNAs that serve as precision sensors for their corresponding targets. Allosteric rearrangement of mRNA structure is mediated by ligand binding, and this results in modulation of gene expression. A class of riboswitches that selectively recognises guanine and becomes saturated at concentrations as low as 5 nM. The record is from Rfam by way of RNAcentral. Lineage: Bacteria; Bacillati; Bacillota; Bacilli; Caryophanales; Bacillaceae. RNAcentral also lists the same sequence under 1 other name.